Non-coding RNA from Tachyglossus aculeatus (Australian echidna), 74 nucleotides. The record is from the annotation of a RefSeq genome assembly. Lineage: Eukaryota; Metazoa; Chordata; Mammalia; Monotremata; Tachyglossidae.
GCCUUCCGUAGUGUAGUGGUUAUCACGUUUGCCUAACACGCGAAAGGUCCCCGGUUCAAAACCGGGCAGAAACA